AAGCGUCCUAAGGUGACGUCAGCCCGGUACUGACGAACAGCCGGUAACGUUUUGUAGCCGUGUGCUAACCCGCCGAUUUUUGUCUUCUUUCCCGGUCAAAGUUGCAAACAUCAUGACUUUCGAUGUCAGGAGAUUCGAUAUCUACCGGAAAGUGCCUAAAGAUCUCACCCAGCCCACAUAUACGGGCGCAUUCAUUUCCAUCCUCUGCUGUGUCUUCAUCCUCUUCCUCUUCCUCUCUGAGCUGACUGGGUUCAUAGCGACUGAAAUUGUAAAUGAACUGUAUGUGGACGACCCUGAUAAGGACAGUGGUGGGAAGAUAGAUGUGAGUUUAAACAUCAGUUUGCCAAACUUACACUGUGAUUUGGUGGGUCUGGACAUCCAGGAUGAGAUGGGCCGCCAUGAAGUCGGUCACAUAGACAACUCGAUGAAGAUCCCUCUGAACCAGGGAGACGGUUGUCGCUUCGAAGGAGAAUUCACCAUCAACAAAGUGCCAGGAAACUUCCAUGUAUCGACUCACAGUGCAACAGCCCAACCCCAGAGUCCGGAUAUGACGCACACCAUCCACAAGCUGGCAUUUGGGGAAAAGCUGCAGGGUCUAAAAGUUCAGGGUGCUUUCAACGCACUUGGAGGCGCUGACAGACUGUCCUCUAAUCCUCUGGCGUCACAUGACUACAUCCUGAAGAUCGUUCCGACAGUCUAUGAAGAUCUGUCGGGCCGACAGAGGUUUUCUUACCAGUACACAGUGGCCAACAAGGAAUACGUCGCGUACAGCCACACGGGCCGGAUAAUCCCCGCCAUCUGGUUCCGUUACGACCUCAGUCCGAUCACAGUCAAAUAUACAGAGAGGAGACAGCCGCUGUACCGCUUCAUCACAACAAUCUGUGCCAUCGUAGGAGGGACCUUCACGGUCGCAGGCAUCAUCGACUCCUGCAUAUUCACCGCGUCAGAGGCCUGGAAGAAAAUCCAAAUUGGAAAAAUGUCCUGAAGACUGCUCCUCCACUCUUCUCACGACUUAUUUAUGUGGCCUGGAAGUUACAUCUCCUAGUUCCAUGAAUGAAGUGGAUCUAACUACCAGACCUCAGAAUGUGUCGAGAAUGACUCCGGUUUGGCCCCUGAGCCGUGAGUUUCUGAUCUGAAGGGUCCAACGUUGGUCGUAAGGAAGUGUGAUUGAGGAGGACUGGAAAAUGAUCCACCUUUUGUUUUGUGUUUUGUUUCUGUGGCCAACCGGUCAGAGAGAUACUGGUUACACAAUGUAACCGCAGCUCUAUGAAAAUGUGUGUAGUCCCCUGAAACUUCACGUAAAAGUGACGUCGUAACACUUCUGAAAUAGAUUUUUAUGAUUUUCCGCGCUGACGCGUCCCAUAUACAACCAGCUUCUGAUGUAAGUGAUGGGUUAAAUAUUGCUGAAGGUUUAUUGAGACGGUGCCGCGGCUGUUGUAGCUAACUCAGGGCGUUGACGCACUUCACUCAUGGUUUGUUGCAACAGACAGAUAAUAGUCAGUUGACCUCGUUGUGUUUUGCCUCCUCAGCCAUUUUGCAUCCUCUGGUGACCUUUGCACCUCUUCUGCCGUAUUAUUACCUUGACUGGUGCGUUGAAGUGGACUUCAGACGCAGACGCUGCUUAUUUCCCCUCAUCUGGCUGCAUGCCGACUCUGUCGUGUCAGAGCGACUCGUGCUGACGUGACCGUGACUGGUGACUCCUGUGUCCCGGCCUGAAAACUCCCUGGAUUCCCCUCUGAGCUGCUCUUCUUGAGUCCAACUGAAUGUGACGAUGUAACCUACAAACUGCUUCUCAAAGCCUUGACUAUGACAGUAAAACAACGAUCGAGUCAAUCUUGACUCAGAAGUUCGGUGGGCAGUUUCUUCUCAAUCAAAGAGAGUUUUUUUUAGGUGAAUGGUUGCUCAGGUUUUCAAAGCCAGGACCUAGAAAUGUGGAUGGACAGACAAGUAAGACUCAGGCAAGGAAAAAGAUCUAUCUACUGAGCUGUCUCUCAGAACCUCCAGAGAUAUGCCUCUAAACCAGGGAUGUCAAAAUUGUGGCCCAUGGGCCUUUUGCAGCCCUCAGGAAAUGGCUUUGUGGCCCACCCCUGGGCAUGGCCCCCACAAGGCCCUCCCUUUUGGCCCAAAGCGAGAUGCAUAGAAAUCACUGUAUAAGCAAAUUCCAGUGGGUGACGUUUAGGCUUUACAUUGGAAUGAUGGACCUAAAUUCCAGUGCAGAUACACUACAAAUGUACUUGGAAUUUGGUUGCGUUUUUACUCAUGGUUCCACGGUGACUUUACCAUACCUUUGGUCCCAGGAGACCACGCAAAUGGAACACAGCUUAAACACAGACUGAGCUGGGUGCAGUUUCUGUUCAGUUGUUAAGGCUUAAUUUAGGAUCAGUUUCCGCCGCGGUUCGGACCGGACAACACAUUUUAGGCAGCCUACAGGAUCUUAUCUUCCUUCUACAAAAGGUCAUAUCCUUUUAGGGAACCUUAAUGGCCUCAUGAAACGACAUGGCAGGCUAACUUUUGGCCCCAAGGCCUUGUGUUAUGUGCUCUAGUUCAAGACUAAAAAAGGGUGACAUGGACACUGCUGAUAGGAAAUCAGUUGCUCCAGGUCUGGAGGGUUCAAGUAUCUCGAGGUCUGGAUGAGUAAUGGAAAGAUGGACCCGUCGUGAGUCAGCGAGGAGCUGAGCCACGGGGCAGAGCUCUUGAUUUACCUGUCGAUCCUCAUUUGUUCUGUCGCCCCUGGUUCCCGGCGGUGACAUAAGAAAGAAGAGACGAGGCUGGAAGGAUCUUGUGUUGAAGUUGCUCUGGCGUCCAGUCAGGAUACCACCGAGACGCCUCCCCGGUGAGGUGCUCCACAGGCGCCCCAGGGCAGACCCUGGACCCGCGCGUGGGGAUUAUGUUUCAUGCUUGGCCGUGGACAUUCUCCCAGAAGAGCUGGACUAGGGGUGGGGGGGGGCCAUCGUUCCCUAAUGUCUGGACCAAAUAGAAAUGAAUGUUCCAAGAUGAUCAAGUUGAUCCUCAUAUGUAGAUUGGGUCUAGCAGCCCAAGUCAGCAUUCAAUCUGGGAUUAGAUUUUUCUUUAUUUAUUUUGUGCUUGUGGAGAGAAAUUGGGUAACAAUUGUGGAGUGGGGUGUGUCCAAGCCCACUGUCUAAUCCUGAUUCAAAUGCUGGAUUCAAAUAUUUAGGUCGAGCUUUAACCAUAACCAUAAGAAAUAAUGGAACCACUAGUGAAUACAUUCAUUUAUUUUCCCAAUAUGAGUCAUAGUUCGUGCAGAAAAAGUACUCUGAAAAGGUAAAAAAAAACAUGGGCGCCGCUGUUUUCGUCGCGAUGAUGCCCCCUCGUGGUUGGUAGGAGAAACGUCAGUUCCACAACAGUUCAGGAUUAAAAUUGAGAUACAUCUUCGGUUAAACAGCGGAGGAAGGCAAGAAGGUGGAGUCCGCAGCGGAGAAGAAGCCGUCCUCGGACAGGCGGCCGUACUCGUUGUUGUAGAAGGUCUGGCCGCUCAUCUGGCUGAAGAAGUUGGAGCCCAGUGAGCUGUCGGCUGCUGUGAGCGGCUCAGUGCUGCUGCUGCUGCUCAUGCGGCUGGAAGGAAAGAAAGCUUCAUCAGAGAACGCCACUCCAGCCGACCUGUUGUUGACGGACAUGAACCUUUUGUAGACGCCGCGUCUGUGCUUGUGCUCCACUCUCUCCAACUCGUCCGAGGCCAGAACCAUCCCGCUGUCGGUCUGGUUGUCCUGAGGAGACGGACACGUGACCGUCGCCACCAAGUUGGUGGGAAUUAAACAACUUACUUGUGUCGCCUGUGGCUGCGUCUCCAGUGGCAGCUCUUCAAAGGUCUCCACUCGGGGUUGGCAUGUUUUGGAGGAUCCCACAAACACAGAGCCGGAGAAGGGCAUGCAGUUGUAGUACCUGCUUCGGAUGAUAUCAGGAGGUCCGUCAGAUGUGGGGGAUUAUUUGAGGUGGAAAA
This is an RNA transcript of Synchiropus splendidus (mandarinfish), 3958 nucleotides long. It is a transcript of the gene named endoplasmic reticulum-golgi intermediate compartment 1, with no coding region annotated. The record is from RefSeq and is a predicted model, not a curated record. Lineage: Eukaryota; Metazoa; Chordata; Actinopteri; Syngnathiformes; Callionymidae. The transcript is spliced from 11 exons.